AACGGUCUAUACCUGCGGUACCUGCGGAGGGAUCAUUACCGAGUGAGGGCCCUCUGGGUCCAACCUCCCACCCGUGUUUAUCGUACCUUGUUGCUUCGGCGGGCCCGCCGCAAGGCCGCCGGGGGGCUUCCGCCCCCGGGCCCGCGCCCGCCGAAGACACCUGUGAACGCUGUAUGAAGAUUGCAGUCUGAGCGAAAAGCUAAAUUUAUUAAAACUUUUAACAACGGAUCUCUAGAUCGG
RNAcentral lists this unclassified non-coding RNA (240 nucleotides) under soil metagenome. Its description in RNAcentral is "partial contains 5.8S ribosomal RNA, internal transcribed spacer 2, and large subunit ribosomal RNA". The record is from RNAcentral.